GCGGGUGUAGCUCAAUGGUAGAGCCUCAGCCUUCCAAGCUGGUUACGUGGGUUCGAUUCCCAUCAUCCGCUCCA
This 74-nucleotide transfer RNA is filed under the name Orientia tsutsugamushi. RNAcentral's name for it is "tRNA-Gly(tcc)". It matches the Rfam family "tRNA". From Rfam's summary of the family: Transfer RNA (tRNA) molecules are approximately 80 nucleotides in length. Lineage: Bacteria; Pseudomonadati; Pseudomonadota; Alphaproteobacteria; Rickettsiales; Rickettsiaceae. The record is from RNAcentral. RNAcentral also lists the same sequence under 10 other names.